UACGGGGGGGGCAAGCGUUGUUCGGAAUUACUGGGCGUAAAGGGCUCGUAGGUGGCCAACUAAGUCAGACGUGAAAUCCCUCGGCUUAACCGGGGAACUGCGUCUGAUACUGGAUGGCUUGAGUUUGGGAGAGGGAUGCGGAAUUCCAGGUGUAGCGGUGAAAUGCGUAGAUAUCUGGAGGAAUACCGGUGGCGAAGGCGGCAUCCUGGACCGAGAUUGACGCUGAUGAGCGAAAGCUAGGGGAGCAAACGGG
This 253-nucleotide ribosomal RNA is filed under the name uncultured bacterium. Its description in RNAcentral is "partial 16S ribosomal RNA". It matches the Rfam family "Bacterial small subunit ribosomal RNA", at positions 524 to 776 of the family's 1533-position model. The record is from RNAcentral.